Molecule: RNA transcript, 2067 nt
Organism: Myotis myotis
Lineage: Eukaryota; Metazoa; Chordata; Mammalia; Chiroptera; Vespertilionidae
Gene: PNLIP
Gene name: pancreatic lipase
Exons: 15
Source: RefSeq, a predicted model, not a curated record
AUUCUGAGCUAUUCCACAGUAAAGAAUUACAAAAUUAAAGAAAGGAAUGCUUUAAAUUUUUGUACUUUGCUGAAAAUUCUUUUUCCCACGGUCUAUAAAACAUUAAUUUGUUUUUAUAUUUUACUAUUUUUUUGUGUUUUUUUUUGUUUUUGUUUUUAAAUCAGUAAGUAAUCUAGGACUAGCAUUAUUUUUGCUAGACCUGGCAUUUGCUCGGUACAUAAGGUCCAAAGUUUCCUUUCCUUUUUUUAUUUAUUUUAUAUUUUGCAAUGUUUUUUUUUUUCCGUAAUAUUGUUUUUCGAUGUUUAGAUAUUUUUCUUUGGUGAAGCACGAGUUUCUUUUCGUGGUCUCUGAUAAUUUUAAACAGUUGGAACACUGGUGGCACUGUUAACUGCUUAAAAGGGCUCCCAGGGCUCUGUGAGGCUGCUACUAGGAUUAGGAAAGACAAAGCUGUUGGAGAAGUUGCCAUUGAGCAUCCUGACUAUCCAAUCAUGCUUCCAAUCUGGACACUUUCGCUGCUGCUGGGAACAGUAGUAGGGAAAGAAAUCUGCUUCCAAAGACUUGGCUGCUUCAGCGAUGAAGCCCCCUGGGCAGGGAUUGUGGAAAGACCCCUCAAAAUAUUGCCCUGGGGCCCCAAAGAGGUCAACACCCGCUUCCUCCUGUACACCAAUGAGAACCCCAACUCCUUUCAGGAAAUCCGUGCAGAGCCAUCAACUAUCGAGGCCUCCAAUUUCAAAACGGAUAGGAAAACCCGUUUCAUUAUUCACGGAUUCAUAGACAAGGGAGAAGAAGGCUGGCUGGCCAAUAUGUGCAAGAACAUGUUUCAGGUGGAAAGCGUGAACUGCAUUUGCGUGGAUUGGAAAAGUGGCUCCAGAACGGGCUACACACAGGCCUCACAGAACAUCCGGAUUGUGGGGGCAGAGGUCGCCUACUUUGUGGAAGUCCUUCAGUCAGCAUUUGGGUACUCGCCUUCCGAUGUCCACAUCAUCGGCCACAGCCUGGGUUCCCACGCGGCCGGCGAGGCGGGAAGGAGGACCAAUGGGACGGUUGGACGCAUCACAGGUUUGGACCCUGCUGAACCUUGCUUUGAGGGGACACCUGAAUUAGUCCGACUGGACCCCAGCGAUGCUCAGUUUGUGGAUGUGAUUCACACAGACGCUGCCCCCAUCAUCCCCAACAUGGGAUUUGGAAUGAGCCAAACUGCGGGACACAUGGAUUUCUUUCCGAAUGGAGGAAAAGACAUGCCCGGAUGUCAGAAGAACAUUCUCUCUCAGAUUGUUGACAUUGAUGGGAUCUGGGAAGGCUCUCGUGACUUUGUUGCCUGUAAUCACCUGAGAAGCUACAAGUAUUACUCCGACAGCAUCCUCCACCCUGAUGGUUUCACUGGCUUCCCCUGUGCCUCUUACAGCUCUUUCACUGCAAACAAGUGCUUCCCCUGUCCAACUGGAGGCUGCCCACAGAUGGGACAUUAUGCUGACAGAUAUGCUGAGAAAACUAAGGGAGUAGGCCAGACAUUUUAUCUAAACACGGGUGACGCCAGCUAUUUCCCCCGUUGGAGGUAUAGGGCAACUGUUAUUCUGUCUGGAAAGAAGGUCAGAGGACACGUGCUAGUUUCUUUGUUUGGCGACAGAGGAAACUCUAAGCAGUACGAAGUUUUCAAGGGCAUUCUCCGACCAUUCAGUAUUCAUACCACUGAAUUUGACUCAGAUGUGGAUGUUGGAGAUUUGAAGAGUGUUAAAUUUAUUUGGUAUAACAAUGUGAUCAACCCAACUCUACCCAAAGUGGGAGCAUCCCGGAUCAUGGUGCAAAGAAAUGAUGGGAAACUGCUUGUGGAAAGAUCGGACCACGAUUAUUAACCUCGUUCUGUGUGUAUGUACAGAUUAAACUAUUAAGUGCACACAGCAUGUUUUAUCAUCACCUGCUGUUUCCUUGAGGCAGCGUCCAGACGAUAAAGCUGGGGUAUAAAAGCCGGCCCGGGCACUGGCUCCAGAGGGAGAGGAAGCCUGGACCGUCUGACAGGAUGGUGAGCAUCUGGGCCAUCGCGCUCUUCCUGCUGGGAGCAGCCCAAGG